Non-coding RNA from Xylaria sp. FL0933, 83 nucleotides. The record is from the annotation of a GenBank genome assembly. Lineage: Eukaryota; Fungi; Ascomycota; Sordariomycetes; Xylariales; Xylariaceae.
GCCCGCUUGGCUAAGUGGUAUAGCGUGUCACUAGUAUUCUAGAUGUCAUGACAAGAUCAGCGGUUCGAUUCCGCUAGUGGGCA